AUUGAACGCUGGCGGCAUGCUUUACACAUGCAAGUCGAACGGUAACAGGCCUUCGGGUGCUGACGAGUGGCGAACGGGUGAGUAAUGCACCGGAACGUGCCCAGAGGUGGGGGAUAACGCAGCGAAAGCUGUGCUAAUAUCGCAUGUGAUAUGAGGACGAAAGCGGGGGACCAAGUAGCAAUGUUUGGCCUCGUGCCUCUGGAGCGGCCGAUGUCGGAUUAGGUAGUUGGUGGGGUAAAGGCCUACCAAGCCGGCGAUCUGUAGCUGGUCUGAGAGGACGACCGGCCGCACGAGAGCGGGGACGCGGCCCAGGGUCCUGCGAGAGGCAGCAGUGGGGAAUGGUGGACAGUAGGCGGGAACCUGGUCCAGCGAUGGCACGUGCGAUGAAGAGAGCUUCCGGUUGUGAACCGCUUUUGUGCGGAGCAAAAAGGCUCUGGCUAAGACCUAGGGCUAGUGACGGUACCGGAAGAAUAAGCACCGGCUAACUACGUG
RNAcentral lists this ribosomal RNA (492 nucleotides) under uncultured bacterium. RNAcentral's name for it is "partial 16S ribosomal RNA". It matches the Rfam family "Bacterial small subunit ribosomal RNA", at positions 29 to 507 of the family's 1533-position model. The record is from RNAcentral.